Long non-coding RNA from Capra hircus (goat), 236 nucleotides. RefSeq lists it as uncharacterized. The record is from RefSeq and is a predicted model, not a curated record. NCBI's taxonomy places the organism in Eukaryota, Metazoa, Chordata, Mammalia, Artiodactyla, Bovidae. The transcript is spliced from 3 exons.
UUUUUGCGUCAACUCGACCUGCUCAGAGCAACCUGUGAACCUCUCUGGCUUGUUCCUCUCACUUGGUGUUGAAAGACUGGAAAAGACAUUGAUUACCGGCAGAUAGAUCAUCCCUGACAUACCAGCCAGAGUAGCUCACUGUCUCAUUGGAGAGGCAGCCAUGUAUACAUCUGGCUAAAAUAAUUCCUGAAGACAACGACACGGGCUGAGAAGAGGAAACAGCACAGUGCUAUGGA